This 124-nucleotide small RNA is filed under the name Marmota monax (woodchuck). The record is from RNAcentral. Lineage: Eukaryota; Metazoa; Chordata; Mammalia; Rodentia; Sciuridae.
GCUGGGUGUGGUGGUGCAGGCCUAUAAUCCCAGCAGCUUGGAGGCUGAGACAGGAGGAUUGAGAGUUCAAAGCCAGGCACAGAAAAAGCAAGGUGCUAAGCAACUCAGAGAGACCCUGUCUCUA